This 254-nucleotide ribosomal RNA is filed under the name uncultured bacterium. RNAcentral's name for it is "partial 16S ribosomal RNA". It matches the Rfam family "Bacterial small subunit ribosomal RNA", at positions 524 to 776 of the family's 1533-position model. The record is from RNAcentral.
UACGUAGGGUGCAAGCGUUGUCCGGAAUUAUUGGGCGUAAAGAGCUCGUAGGCGGUUUGUCGCGUCUGCUGUGAAAUCUGGAGGCUCAACCUCCAGCCUGCAGUGGGUACGGGCAGACUAGAGUGCGGUAGGGGAGAUUGGAACGUCCUGGUGUAGCGGUGGAAUGCGCAGAUAUCAGGAAGAACACCGAUGGCGAAGGCAGAUCUCUGGGCCGUAACUGACGCUGAGGAGCGAAAGCAUGGGGAGCGAACAGG